CAGUAGCCGCGGUAACACGGAGGGAGCUAGCGUUGUUCGGAAUUACUGGGCGUAAAGCGCGCGUAGGCGGUUACUCAAGUCAGAGGUGAAAGCCCGGGGCUCAACCCCGGAACUGCCUUUGAAACUAGGUGACUAGAAUCUUGGAGAGGUCAGUGGAAUUCCGAGUGUAGAGGUGAAAUUCGUAGAUAUUCGGAAGAACACCAGUGGCGAAGGCGACUGACUGGACAAGUAUUGACGCUGAGGUGCGAAAGCGUGGGGAGCAAACAGGAUUAGAGACCCGAGUAGUCCCUGUCUCUUAUAC
RNAcentral lists this ribosomal RNA (301 nucleotides) under uncultured bacterium. RNAcentral's name for it is "partial 16S ribosomal RNA". It matches the Rfam family "Bacterial small subunit ribosomal RNA", at positions 509 to 807 of the family's 1533-position model. The record is from RNAcentral.